This is a microRNA precursor of Balaenoptera musculus (blue whale), 83 nucleotides long. Ensembl annotates it as microRNA 26b. Its record names the gene MIR26B. NCBI's taxonomy places the organism in Eukaryota, Metazoa, Chordata, Mammalia, Artiodactyla, Balaenopteridae. The record is from Ensembl.
UGCCCGGGACCCAGUUCAAGUAAUUCAGGAUAGGUUGUGUGCUGUCCAGCCUGUUCUCCAUUACUUGGCUCGGGGGCCGGUGC